CUUGAGUGGCGGACGGGUGAGUAACACGUGAGAAUCACCUUUAGGUGGGGAAUAACUUUUGGAAACGAUAGCUAAUGCCCCAUAGACUCGAAAGAGAAAAAAGAGCAAUCUGCCUAAAGAGAAGCUCGCGGCUGAUUAGCUAGUUGGUAAGGUAAUGGCUUACCAAGGCGACGAUCAGUAGCUGGUUUGAGAGAACGAUCAGCCACACUGGAACUGAGACACGGUCCAGACUCCUACGGGAGGCAGCAGUGGGGAAUUUUCCGCAAUGGGCGAAAGCCUGACGGAGCAAUACCGCGUGAGGGAUGACGGCCUUUGGGUUGUAAACCUCUUUUAUCAAGGAGGAAGUUCUGACGUGUACUUGAUGAAUAAGCAUCGGCUAACUCCGUGCCAGCAGCCGCGGUAAGACGGAGGAUGCAAGUGUUAUCCGGAAUCACUGGGCGUAAAGCGUCUGUAGGUUGUUUAAAAAGUCUGCAGUUAAAGGUUGAAGCUUAACUUCAAAAAUGCCGUAGAAACUUUUAAACUAGAGGAUGGUAGGGGUAGAGGGAAUUUCCAGUGGAGCGGUGAAAUGUGUAGAUAUUGGAAAGACCACCGAUGGCGAAGGCACUCUACUG
This 611-nucleotide ribosomal RNA is filed under the name uncultured cyanobacterium. RNAcentral describes it as "bacterial SSU rRNA". It matches the Rfam family "Bacterial small subunit ribosomal RNA", at positions 90 to 731 of the family's 1533-position model. Lineage: Bacteria; Bacillati; Cyanobacteriota. The record is from RNAcentral.